This 262-nucleotide ribosomal RNA is filed under the name uncultured prokaryote. RNAcentral describes it as "partial 16S ribosomal RNA". It matches the Rfam family "Bacterial small subunit ribosomal RNA", at positions 524 to 785 of the family's 1533-position model. The record is from RNAcentral.
UACGUAGGUGGCAAGCGUUAUCCGGAAUUAUUGGGCGUAAAGAGCGCGCAGGUGGUUGAUUAAGUCUGAUGUGAAAGCCCACGGCUUAACCGUGGAGGGUCAUUGGAAACUGGUCAACUUGAGUGCAGAAGAGGGAAGUGGAAUUCCAUGUGUAGCGGUGAAAUGCGUAGAGAUAUGGAGGAACACCAGUGGCGAAGGCGGCUUCCUGGUCUGUAACUGACACUGAGGCGCGAAAGCGUGGGGAGCAAACAGGAUUAGAUAU